GACGAACGCUGGCGGCGUGCCUAACACAUGCAAGUCGAACGGGGAGUUAUUUAUAACUCCUAGUGGCGAACGGGUGAGUAACGUGUAGACAACCUGCCUCUAAACUGGGGACAACACCGCGAAAGUGGUGCUAAUACCGAAUGUGGUAUCUUGAUCGCAUGAUUGAGAUAAGAAAGAUGGCCUCUACAUGUAAGCUAUCGAUUAGAGAUGGUUCUGCGUCUGAUUAGCUAGUUGGUGAGGUAACGGCUCACCAAGGCGACGAUCAGUAGCCGGUCUGAGAGGAUGAACGGCCACACUGGGACUGAGACACGGCCCAGACUCCUACGGGAGGCAGCAGUGGGGAAUCUUCCGCAAUGGACGAAAGUCUGACGGAGCAACGCCGCGUGAGUGAAGAAGGUCUUCGGAUUGUAAAGCUCUGUCGUUUGGGACGAACGUAUCCUGUGUGAAUAAUGCGGGGUAAUGACGGUACCAAAGGAGGAAGCCACGGCUAACUACGUGCCAGCAGCCGCCGUAA
RNAcentral lists this ribosomal RNA (514 nucleotides) under uncultured bacterium. Its description in RNAcentral is "partial 16S ribosomal RNA". It matches the Rfam family "Bacterial small subunit ribosomal RNA", at positions 28 to 523 of the family's 1533-position model. The record is from RNAcentral.